AGCGGCAGUUCCCAGUAAGCGUCCGGCCUGCAGGGAAGGGUGACCACGGAGCUCUUACAGGAUGCUGGGCUCCCCCCGCACAUUAACUCCUCACCACCCUGGGCCUGGGCACACUGAUCUGCUGCCAUCACAGGGCCUUUGCAGAAGCUGGACCCCUGCCCAGGAAGCUCUUCUGCUGGCUUCUCUCCCGUCACUGUGGAGCUGGGGUGACCCCUCCUUGAUGUCCUCCCUGACCACCGGGGCCCAAGUACAUUCUAGCAUCAUUACUCUGCCAAAGUUAUUCACAGCCAGAACCAUCACCCCACGUGAACCUACUGCCUCCUCACCUGCACCGUCAGACCUGCUGGCAACCUCGUCUGUCUUCCUCAUGGCCGCACCCUCAGCAUGAGGUGGGAACCUGGCACGGAGCAGAUGCUCACUAAAUGUUUGUGCAGCAAACAAAACAACUGUGCAAAGCCGGGCCCCCAGGCCCUGGCAUCCCUUAUGGUGUUAAUAAAGAUGGCAGGCCUGGG
Molecule: long non-coding RNA, 512 nt
Organism: Manis pentadactyla (Chinese pangolin)
Lineage: Eukaryota; Metazoa; Chordata; Mammalia; Pholidota; Manidae
Exons: 2
Source: RefSeq, a predicted model, not a curated record